GACAACCAUAAUAUUUCAAUUGAUGAAAAUUAGCUUGGAAUAGAUGAAAAUGAAUACAUAUAUGGGAGUUGCAACAAUCAUAAAAUGUAAGCUAGUUACUCACAAAAAUAUACAGAUCAAACUUUGACGCACGAAACUUCAUCUUAAUUAGGGGAAGUGAAUUGAGAACCUGAGAACCUCAAAUAAUCAGAUGCGUGUGAAAAAUAACAAAAGAAAUAUUUUUCUUUCAUUUUUCCUUUCCUCAGCAAACCACAUUUGAUCAAGGACAGCCCCUAUAAAUGGUCUAGCAAUGAGUUCAUGGGUAAAAUUAGAAAGAUAGCUAUAUGAAAU
This 330-nucleotide long non-coding RNA is filed under the name Glycine max (soybean). Its description in RNAcentral is "long non-coding RNA (GMAX_LNC000096)". Lineage: Eukaryota; Viridiplantae; Streptophyta; Magnoliopsida; Fabales; Fabaceae. The record is from RNAcentral.